UGCGAGUACGGGGCGGGAGGCGGCGUAGUGCGUAGGAGGCGGACGUUGUGCGGAUGUACUGGGCGUAAAUAGCGCGUAGGGGGUGUGGCGGGUUGUUCGUGAAAACUCACAACUCAAUUGUGGGCGUGCGGGCGAUACGGGCAGACUGGAGUACGGCAGGGGAGACUGGAAUUCCUGGUGUAGCGGUGGAAUGCGCAGAUAUCAGGAGGAACACCGGUGGCGAAGGCGGGUCUCUGGGCAGUAACUGACGCUGAGGAGCGAAAGCGUGGGGAGCGAACAGGAUUAGAUACCCCAGUAGUC
Molecule: ribosomal RNA, 300 nt
Filed under: uncultured Methanomassiliicoccus sp.
Lineage: Archaea; Methanobacteriati; Thermoplasmatota; Thermoplasmata; Methanomassiliicoccales; Methanomassiliicoccaceae
Description: bacterial SSU rRNA
Rfam family: Bacterial small subunit ribosomal RNA (bases 52-300)
Source: RNAcentral